ACGAUUUGAGAAGACCAAAUCCAGUUUCGACAUUGAAGAAAUCGUGUCACGAUGGCCAAAUCGUGACACGAUUGGAGGAAACCCUAAUUCAGUAAUUUACGAUUCAAAGAGAAUCGUGCCACGAUUUACUUAAAUCGUGACACGAUUUUAGGCGAAAUUCUGUGCCUAUUUAAACUGAAGACUAUUCUGAAAACAAGGGUUACGAUU
RNAcentral lists this long non-coding RNA (207 nucleotides) under Medicago truncatula (barrel medic). Its description in RNAcentral is "long non-coding RNA (MTRU_LNC004328)". The record is from RNAcentral. Lineage: Eukaryota; Viridiplantae; Streptophyta; Magnoliopsida; Fabales; Fabaceae.